UCAAAGCAAGGGCGGCCCGGUUGCAUCGGGAUGCAGUCAGCGCCGUUGGCACAGGCGAAGUUUAGAUUCGCCAGCAGCUGUUGGUCCGGGACGCCAUCCGCAGGUACGCACCACUCCCCACUGGCUGGUGGGGUCGUCGAGGAGCUUCCUGGUGGCCGACGACAAAGACAGCAGAUCCUGGGCGGCCCGCCCUCCAUCAUAUGAUUGAGAACCUACAGAAAACAGCAAAACCGCCCAAGUCGGUAGGGGUCACACUCCUUCAUCACAGUGAGCGCAUGUUUGGCCUUGACAUAUUCACAAAUGUUUAGACUCUUUCCAGGAGAGCAUUGCAUCAUGCUUUCAUGCUUUCAUGCAUACGUCGAGAUUAGGCAAGAAAUUCCCGGAAAAAGGUCGAGAAAUCACGGUAAAACUCACUUGCCAAUCGAGAACCUUCCAGCACCGUGGCCAAGAAGAGCGUCAGGACCCAGAAAUGUGAAAAUGACGCCAUGGAAGAAGAAGAAGAAGAAGAAGAAGAAA
Molecule: long non-coding RNA, 516 nt
Organism: Syzygium oleosum
Lineage: Eukaryota; Viridiplantae; Streptophyta; Magnoliopsida; Myrtales; Myrtaceae
Exons: 2
Source: RefSeq, a predicted model, not a curated record